This 252-nucleotide ribosomal RNA is filed under the name uncultured bacterium. Its description in RNAcentral is "partial 16S ribosomal RNA". It matches the Rfam family "Bacterial small subunit ribosomal RNA", at positions 524 to 775 of the family's 1533-position model. The record is from RNAcentral.
UACGUAGGUGGCAAGCGUUGUCCGGAAUUAUUGGGCGUAAAGCGCGCGCAGGUGGUUCUUUAAGUCUGAUGUGAAAGCCCACGGCUCAACCGUGGAGGGUCAUUGGAAACUGGGGAACUUGAGUGCAGAAGAGGAAAGUGGAAUUCCAAGUGUAGCGGUGAAAUGCGUAGAGAUUUGGAGGAACACCAGUGGCGAAGGCGACUUACUGGACACAUAUUGACGCUGAGGUGCGAAAGCGUGGGGAGCAACAGG